UUAAGUGACGAUAGCCUAGGAGAUACACCUGUACCCAUGCCGAACACAGAAGUUAAGCCCUAGAACCCCGGAAGUAGUUGGGGGUUGCCCCCUGUGAGAUAUGGAAGUCGCUUAGC
This 116-nucleotide ribosomal RNA is filed under the name Streptococcus mitis 18/56. Lineage: Bacteria; Bacillati; Bacillota; Bacilli; Lactobacillales; Streptococcaceae. The record is from RNAcentral.